UAGCAGCAACUACUCUCUGACAGAUGUGA
RNAcentral lists this non-coding RNA (29 nucleotides) under Rattus norvegicus (Norway rat). The record is from RNAcentral. Lineage: Eukaryota; Metazoa; Chordata; Mammalia; Rodentia; Muridae.